UUUCUCACUUUAUUCCCGUUGUCGAAAGACCGGGGAAGAUAAGCAAGAAGUCUUUGAGCGAAGAAGUUGUCCUUGGAUAAGUGCGAGAAUAUACCUUUCAAAGUCAGUCCCUCAGGUCGGUACUUCCAUGGCCAUGGUAGCCACGUGUCAUUACCCCCAUUGGCAUAGCUAGACGAUCUUCACUCUCUCGAUCCCUUUGAAAACCAUUUGCCUAUCUAUUUGAUCUGACCAGGUAAAUCGACCUAUCCCCCAGCGUACCGGAGCUUUUCUACCCGCGGAAGAUCUUUUUUCUCUUUUUCAAAUGAUCGAUUCAUUCCUCAAUCGCAGCAGGCAGACCUUCUUAAUAAUAGAUCAUUUCAAGCCCUUCUACGCCUAUCUUCCCCUCUGCGUCUUGAACAGAAGCUCAAGUGCACGAAGACCCUCUUACUUAAGCAGGUGCUAUCACUUAAGAAAAUCUCCGGGUCAUUCUUCAAGACUACCACCUUCCUUCUCUUCGGGCAUUGGAAGAUGAAUCAACUCCAUAUAAGCUGGAUGACCCGGGCCUUCUUUGUGGCUUGGNN
This 560-nucleotide long non-coding RNA is filed under the name Olea europaea (common olive). Its description in RNAcentral is "long non-coding RNA (OEUR_LNC014923)". Lineage: Eukaryota; Viridiplantae; Streptophyta; Magnoliopsida; Lamiales; Oleaceae. The record is from RNAcentral.